This 483-nucleotide ribosomal RNA is filed under the name uncultured bacterium. RNAcentral describes it as "partial 16S ribosomal RNA". It matches the Rfam family "Bacterial small subunit ribosomal RNA", at positions 28 to 507 of the family's 1533-position model. The record is from RNAcentral.
GACGAACGCUGGCGGCGUGCUUAACACAUGCAAGUCGAACGCUGAAGCUCAGCUUUUGUUGGGUGGAUGAGUGGCGAACGGGUGAGUAACACGUGAGUAACCUGCCUCCUUCUUUGGGAUAACGCCCGGAAACGGGUGCUAAUACUGGAUAUUCACUGGUCUUCGCAUGGGGGUUGGUGGAAAGGGUUUUUCUGGUGGGGGAUGGGCUCGCGGCCUAUCAGCUUGUUGGUGGGGUGAUGGCCUACCAAGGCUUUGACGGGUAGCCGGCCUGAGAGGGUGACCGGUCACAUUGGGAGUGAGAUACGGCCCAGACUCCGACGGGAGGCAGCAGUGGGGAGUAUUGCACAAUGGGCGCAAGCCUGAUGCAGCGACGCCGCGGGAGGGAUGGAGGCCUUCGGGUUGUGAACCUCUUUCGCUCAUGGUCAAGCCGCAACAAUGGUUGUGGUGAGGGUAGUGGGUAAAGAAGCGCCGGCUAACUACGUG